RNAcentral lists this long non-coding RNA (1449 nucleotides) under Rosa chinensis. RNAcentral's name for it is "sRNA RchiOBHm_Chr6g0283001". The record is from RNAcentral. Lineage: Eukaryota; Viridiplantae; Streptophyta; Magnoliopsida; Rosales; Rosaceae.
GCCUGGUUAGAUCUCCUGUGUCUUUCUUCUUCGCUUCACACAGAGGUAGAUAGAGAAAGAGAGAGAGAGUGAAGGGAAUUCAUUUUCUUGGACAGCUGGGUUGUUGCUCAGUGUGUGUUUUUCUUGCUUCGACACCUAGGGUGGUUCGCAGUGCUAUAGUGUCUAUGAUACCUCACUCCACCGAGAGGAGUUGACGGUUGUGAAAUUGAGUUUGUUAGAGGGUUGGGUGAAUGUGAUUUGUGAGGAUGUUGCUUAGUGGUGCUUCAUCAAGGGAGACUCGACUUCAAAGCUGGUUAUCAGAAGUAGGUUCUUUAAGAGCAUUACAUGUUCAUGGUCUUAGCUGGGUAGAUCUAUAAUUAUACGUCAUCAAAGAGAAAGUGACCCCUUGAUAUAUGCUGGUCCAACUUAAAGUUAUGAGGUUGUCUUUUUGAAGCGGUUUUCUUCUGCCAUACAUUUGAUCACUGGUUAUUUUUGUUUAUGAGAGGAUAAGUGCUUAUCAUUCACCAAUUGCAAGAGUGGGUUUUUAUUUGCAUUUGAGGAUUUUCGGCAACAUUAUUUGCAACCGAUUUGCGGGUGUUCUUCAAAGGUUGAUGAGGCCAUGAGCAAUUAAGUGACAUGUCUUCUUUGUGGUAAUAGGCGCAAAACACCGAGUAUUGUUUGCCUCCUCAAGUGGGAAGGAGUUGAGAAAGUGGAAAUCCCCAUGAGGCUGUAGACUUCUGGGGUUUGACCAAAACCUAGGCAAUUGUUUUAAGCAGCAGAUGAAUGACAACCAAAAAGAUGAAGUGAUUUGCGAGAGAAGCAAAAAGAUGAAGAAGUCUACCAGUGAUAUGUUAUAGACUUCAUGUCACAUUGAAGAUCCAAACAUUGAAUCCACAGUAAAGCUUAGAGGAAAACCAGCUGAACAGUUAUUCGGAAUAACUUGCAAAGAACUCUUGAACAAGUGCCCCUAUGCACCACAAGAAACACUGCCACCAGAGAUAUUACAAACAGAGGGGCAGAUCCGUGUUUUCCAAAUCCAAAUCACUGAGACAAACGACUUCAUAGUAAAAGGAAUCUUUCCAGACACAGAUCAUCAACCAGUGAGACAGAGACAAGCAUUGAAUCAGCGACCUCAACACCAGACACUCUGAACAAAGAAAAAAUAGAUUGAAGUGUCAUGUCGCUUUUCAUGUAAAUACAAAUGGAGGAAACACAUUUUUGAACAACCUCCACAACUACUUAGCACUUUUUUGGCUAGGCUAACAACUCUUCAACAAUUGCGGUCACUUUUGGUAUAAAUGUAACUGGAGUAAGCACCAUUUUGAAGAACCUCUGCUGAUACGUGGUAACGAAGAUCAACACCUCUUUUCAGCAGACAGAUGAAAUGUAGUUAGGUUAGCCUAUAAGUAAAACAAUAUAUUUUUGACAAGCUGUGUCAACAGCAGUUGUAUUGUAUAUUUGCACAUUAUC